RNAcentral lists this long non-coding RNA (2632 nucleotides) under Gadus morhua (Atlantic cod). RNAcentral describes it as "lncRNA (ENSGMOG00000026479.1)". The record is from RNAcentral. Lineage: Eukaryota; Metazoa; Chordata; Actinopteri; Gadiformes; Gadidae.
AUGGUCACCAUCUCUGAACCGGACCCUGGACUCUCUGAGGAACAUGAGGACACGUCUUUGGACCGGGAGGAGACCAGGAAGAGAAGAUUUGAUCUAUGGUUGUCCAUCACUCUCAUUGUGAGCCUCGGACUGCUGAUUAUUCUCACGAUCUCCCUGCGCCUCAGUUCAGUGAUGCCCACGGAGGAGGUGGAGGAGGCCCCCAGCAUCACAGAGUUCCACUCUCCUACCCACGUGUUGCCCGUGGGCCAAACGACCCGCUUCACCUGCAAUGCCAGCGGCACGCCGGAGCCCACAGUAGAGUGGCUCCACAACGGCAGGCCCCUGAAGAUGAAUGGCACAGACAACCAAUCAGAGGCCUGGUUGGAGAGGGGGUUCCUCUUCGUCAGAGGGGUGAGGUAUGGCGUGAACACGGUCUCCUGCAUGGCAAGCAACAGCGCUGGCACGGCCAAUCACACCGCUGAGCUGCUUGUCUUUGGUAAGUUCUGGAUCCAAGGAGAGAUGCUUUGAAGUUUUCGUAAUGUUCUCGAGGUGAGUGUAUAUAUAUAUAUAUAUAUAUAUAUAUAUAUAUAUAUAUAUAUAUAUAUAUAUAUCACUUUAUUUAUUUAUAUUAUCACUUGUGUCACCCCCUGCUUAACCAAAACGUAGUGAACCCAAAACCCUGAUAUGAACCGAACCACGAAUUCUGUGAACCGUUCCCUAAUUUUUGUGGGUGUCAUGACGUGACAGAGGUGUUUUUUAAGUCCAUUGACGUUUAGUUUCUACCGGAAGCAGACAACCAGCCAUGUGUGUUGUCCAAUGGAACCUAGCCUCAAACCACUGAACAACAAACGAUAACUCAGACGUGCAAACUUAAUGGACAAGUGUAAGGAAUGUGAAAUAGGACAGGAAUAGGAACUAGAAAUCAUACAAUUAUUGAAGAUUGUGUACUUGUACUGCCAUUACACACACAUUUCACAUACUGUGUGUGUAUAUUAGUAUGUUUGUUUAUCUAUGUGUAUGUACGUUAAAGUAUCUGUACAUAGGUAUACGUAUGUUUACGUAUGUGUACCAGUGGCGGCUGGUAGUUUUUAAAUUGAGGGAGGAAGGACUGCGCGCUUGGUUGCUAUUGGCCUGCUUGCACUGUUAGUGUUAUGAGCGGGGUGAGGGGACCCAAGGGCUGGACACAGGGAGGCAGAGACGGGGUAAAGGAAAGAGGGUUUACUGGGACACGGGGUAGAUGACAAGCUGGGGCGAAGCAAGCAGGAGACAUAGGUUCAGCAUGAUGUAUGGGGGGGUAUUCGUUAGUAUGACAUCGAUAUAUAAUAUUCUAAAGUCAGAAGCCGAAACCCAUGGCAUUUGGUGAUAGUUCAAACACAAUUUAAUGUGAAUACCAGAGUUCCCGUUGUCCGGUAAUUACCGGUCUUUGACCGGAAAAAAAUGAGGAGGACCGAAAAUUCUAAAUGUCUCGGAUGGAAAUAAGGAAAUAAGGCCCCGUCCACACGGAGCCGAAACGGGCGAAAACGAUCCGGUUUCGUUUUAUGCGGAAUAUUCAAGGCGCUGGUUCUCCACAGAAAAAAGUAGAGCGCAUCAACCCUGCGCCGCUGCGCGCAUACAGCAUGCGCGCUGUAUACAAACAUUCAGGCCACGUUUAGACGUAGCAGGGUAUUUAUAGAAACAAAUAUUUCCCCCCCUCCGUUUUCAAAAAUAACAUUGUGCACACAACAUCGUUUUCAAAAAAGUUGUCGUUUACAUCAAAACGGAUAAAUACGCCGUUGGGACAUUAUAACUAUGCCAAACCUAUGGGCGGCAGUGUAGGGAGAAGGAUAAAGCCAUGCAAGCCAAUCAGAAUCCUCAGAAUCAACAACAACGAAUAACACAAGCGUCUUCCUGUAACAAACAAACUGUAAACAUAGGGCGCUCAUAUGACGUUAAGCAUUUCCUGGUGCAUAAUGUGAAGUUUCAGAACCUAAAACCCUGUUUCUACCCGUUGACACGACAACACGUAACCGGCGUUUUCAGAAAUCUCCACUUUGGCCGGAGUUUUUAGAAAUGAUCGUUUUCUGUGACAAAAACUGCGUUUUCGUGUAAAUGAGAGGCCAAACCGUGUGAAAAUAUCUGCGUUUUCCCUUCGUGUAAACGGGGCCUCAGUCACGAGGAGAUUCAACCUUUUAAAUUGAGCAGGAAUACUUUUGAAUGUGUUCAUUUGAAUUGUGUUUAAAUAUGCUACAGUAGUCAUUUGUUUAGCCAAUUAAUGUAAAACAAUGAGGGUUUUGAUUGUAGCGUAGCCUGUGUUAUAAAAUAAAUAAGUUGCUACAUUUCGUGCACUCGCUCAAAUUGAUCGCUAUAGACUACCAUAGGUUUAUGAACUAAAGGGCGGCCAGCUAGCGAAAGCCGGCAGCAAGCUUUGCGGAGUAACGGUAUUUAACAACCAUGACAAAUCAAAAUAUGAUCACAUACUUCUUCUUCUUCUUUAUAUAGCCUGCCUAUACAUUUUUUUAAGUGCAAUAAACACAGACAAUAUCCGACAGAUUUUUUUCCAAUUUCACCGGUAAAAUGAAACCUUCCCGGUCACAUGACCGGCACCAAUUUCUUCUAGCGGAAACACUGGUGAAUACGACUCAAAAUGAUACAAUGAACACACAUAAAAUCAUCA